UGGGGAAUUUUGGACAAUGGGCGAAAGCCUGAUCCAGCAAUGCCGCGUGUGUGAAGAAGGCCUUCGGGUUGUAAAGCACUUUUGUCCGGAAAGAAAUCCUUGGCUCUAAUACAGUCGGGGGAUGACGGUACCGGAAGAAUAAGCACCGGCUAACUACGUGCCAGCAGCCGCGGUAAUACGUAGGGUGCAAGCGUUAAUCGGAAUUACUGGGCGUAAAGCGUGCGCAGGCGGUUUGCUAAGACCGAUGUGAAAUCCCCGGGCUCAACCUGGGAACUGCAUUGGUGACUGGCAGGCUAGAGUAUGGCAGAGGGGGUAGAAUUCCACGUGUAGCAGUGAAAUGCGUAGAGAUGUGGAGGAAUACCGAUGGCGAAGGCAGCCCCCUGGGCCAAUACUGACGCUCAUGCACGAAAGCGUGGGGAGCAAACAGGAUUAGAUACCCUGGUAGUCCACGCCCUAAACGAUGUCAACUAGUUGUUGGGGAUUCAUUUCCUUAGUAACGUAGCUAACGCGUGAAGUUGACCGCCUGGGGAGUACGGUCGCAAGAUUAAAACUCAAAGGAAUUGAC
Molecule: ribosomal RNA, 565 nt
Filed under: uncultured bacterium
Lineage: Bacteria
Description: partial 16S ribosomal RNA
Rfam family: Bacterial small subunit ribosomal RNA
Source: RNAcentral